GUGAAUCAUCGAAUCUUUGAACGCAAAUUGCACUCUCCUCGGAGCCUAUGCCUGUUUGAGGGUCAGCCUAAAAAAAAUCGACGUACUCGCUGUUUCGCUGUGACAUUCGUCGGAAAUUGGGUCAUCUUAAACCUUUGGGUUUUUUAAGAGGCUUAAAAUUUUCUUUACGAUUCCACGAACGUUUUUAAUAUUUUACUUCUUACACACGUUUAUGGUAUCGAUUUUUAUUAGACUUGCCCGUUACAUCAGAUCGCGUCCU
Molecule: unclassified non-coding RNA, 259 nt
Filed under: Glomus sp.
Lineage: Eukaryota; Fungi; Glomeromycota; Glomeromycetes; Glomerales; Glomeraceae
Description: partial contains 5.8S ribosomal RNA and internal transcribed spacer 2
Source: RNAcentral